GACUCUUUGAGGGAUGAUCUUGGUCUCAGCUACCAA
Molecule: small RNA, 36 nt
Filed under: Propionibacterium australiense
Lineage: Bacteria; Bacillati; Actinomycetota; Actinomycetes; Propionibacteriales; Propionibacteriaceae
Description: CRISPR_Spacer
Source: RNAcentral